UCUGCCCUAAAGUUCGGAACAACCUGCCGAAAGGUGAGCUAAUACCGAAUGUGAUCGUUUGCAGGCAUCUGUGAAUGAUCAAAGCUGGGGAUCGUAAGACCUGGCGCUUUAGGAUGGGCCCGCGGCCUAUCAGCUAGUUGGUGAGGUAACGGCUCACCGAGGCUAAGACGGGUAGCCGGUCUGAGAGGAUGAUCAGCCACACUGGGACUGAGACACGGCCCAG
Molecule: ribosomal RNA, 223 nt
Filed under: uncultured bacterium
Lineage: Bacteria
Description: partial 16S ribosomal RNA
Rfam family: Bacterial small subunit ribosomal RNA
Source: RNAcentral